RNAcentral lists this non-coding RNA (26 nucleotides) under Homo sapiens (human). Lineage: Eukaryota; Metazoa; Chordata; Mammalia; Primates; Hominidae. The record is from RNAcentral.
UGGUGGAUGCGCACACUGCCGAAGUC